GCAACUAUAGUAUAAUGGAUAGAACGCGAGACUCCGACUCUCGAAAUGUGGGUUCGAUUCCCGCUAGUUGCA
Molecule: transfer RNA, 72 nt
Filed under: Lachnobacterium bovis
Lineage: Bacteria; Bacillati; Bacillota; Clostridia; Lachnospirales; Lachnospiraceae
Description: tRNA_Arg_CCG
Rfam family: tRNA
About the family: Transfer RNA (tRNA) molecules are approximately 80 nucleotides in length. Their secondary structure includes four short double-helical elements and three loops (D, anti-codon, and T loops).
Source: RNAcentral